GAGAAUUUCGGAGUCUACAAGUAUCUCUUGUAUGGGCCACUAGUAGGGAAGGUCAUAUACUCUCGAGCAUGGGAGGGUGGGAGCUCCGAUGCAUGGUGCUUUCACAUCCUGGUGCUCUGUGCGCUUAGGGGGUUGGUUCACCAGCUCUGGUGCAGCUUCAGCAACAUGCUGUUCCUCACCAGGCGGCGGAGGAUAAUACAGGACGGAGUUGAUUAUGAGCAGAUAGACAAGGAGUGGGAUUGGGACAAUUUUCUGAUUUUGCAUGCUUUAAUUGGAGCAAUGACAUGUUACUUCUUCCCAUCAAUCAAGGAUCUCCCAAAAUGGGACCUCAGUGGGGCUGUUGCAGCUCUUGUGAUCCAUGUUGGGGUGUCGGAGCCUCUCUUCUACUUGGCUCACAGGAUAUUCCACACACGCCAAAUUUUUGCCGACUAUCACUACCUCCACCACUCCACCCGCGUGCCAACGCCUUUCACAGCUGGAUUUGCGACUCCUCUGGAGCACUUGGUCUUGAGUGUAGUGAUGCUCGCACCCCUCGUUGGAGCUGCGAUGAUCGGGUCGGGAUCGGCUGGACUGAUAUAUGGAUACGUCUUGCUCUUUGAUUUCUUGAGGUGUAUUGGGCACUGCAAUGUGGAGGUGUUUUCUCAUAGGAUGUUUGAGGUCUUGCCUCUCCUCAGAUACCUCAUCUACACACCAACGUACCAUAGCCUUCACCAUACUGAGAAAAACACAAACUAUUGCCUAUUUAUGCCUCUUUUUGAUGCCUUGGGAGGAACAAUCCAUCCAAAGUCUUGGGUGUUACAGAGAGAGAUAAGUUCAGGAAAGAAUGAUCGAGUCCCAGAUUUUGUGUUUCUAGCCCACGUUGUGGACGUGAUGUCGAGUUUACACGUACAUUUCGUGUUUCGUACCUUUGCUUCAACUCCCUUCAGGAUCCGUCUAUGGUUGUUGCCUUUGUGGCCGGGAGCUUUUAUCGUUAUGCUCAUGAUGUGGGCAUGGUCCAAGACUUUCCUUGUUGCCUUCUACAACAUCCGUGGGCGACACCAUCAGAUUUGGGUGGUUCCCCGAUACGGUUUCCAGUACUUCUUACCCUUUGCAAAAGACAGCAUCAAUGAGCAGAUAGAGCUGGCAAUCCUGAGAGCAGAUAAGAUGGGGGUGAAGGUUCUCAGCCUUGCAGCACUUAAUAAGAAUGAAACUUUAAAUGGAGGUGGAACACUAUUUGUGAGCAAACACCCAGAACUAAAAGUGCGAGUCGUGCACGGUAACACUCUAACCGCAGCUGUCAUCCUCAACAAGAUCCCGAAAGAUGUUACGGAGGUAUUCCUCACUGGCGCCACCUCCAAGCUUGGAAGAGCGAUUGCCUUAUACCUAUCUCGAAAGAAAAUCAGGGUUAUGAUGCUCACUCUAUCAACUGAAAGAUUUCAGAAGGUUCAGAAGGAAGCACCAAUAGAGUUCCAACAGUAUCUGGUUCAAGUAACCAAGUAUCAAGCUGCUCAGAAUUGCAAGACAUGGAUUGUGGGCAAGUGGAUAACUCCGAUGGAGCAACUCUGGGCACCACCUGGCACACACUUCCAUCAGUUCGUCGUCCCUCCGAUCCUCGGCAUUAGAAGAGACUGCACCUACGGAAAGCUCGCUGCAAUGAAGCUGCCUCAGGAUGUACAAGGGUUAGGCAUGUGUGAGUACACAUUGGAGCGGGGAGUAGUUCACGCUUGUCAUGCCGGUGGGGUGGUGCACUCCUUGGAAGGAUGGACACAUAAUGAGGUCGGUGCAAUCGACGUUGAUCUUAUCGACGUUGUUUGGGAAGCAGCAAUGAAGCAUGGCCUAACACCAGUAUGAAACGAGAACCAUUUCGGCCCCAUACAACUUAUCAAUCUUUUGGUUUUAUUUUUCUUUCCUUGGUAUACCACAGGGUUAUAACUCAUUAUUCUCUGAUUAGAUGACGAGGAAAUGGUUUUAUUUUUCUUUCCAUAGUAUGUACCACAGAGAUAUAACUCAUUAUUCAUUAGUUUCUAAAAGAAUGAUGAUGAAUUGUUAUUCGUGAGUGUUGU
RNAcentral lists this unclassified non-coding RNA (2042 nucleotides) under Hevea brasiliensis (rubber tree). The record is from RNAcentral. Lineage: Eukaryota; Viridiplantae; Streptophyta; Magnoliopsida; Malpighiales; Euphorbiaceae.